AUCAAGAGAUCAAAAGUGCUUAUCGAAGAAUGGCUCUCAGGUACCAUCCUGAUAAGAAUCCAAACGACCCGGUUGCAGCGGAUAUGUUUGAGGAGAUUACAUUUGCUUAUGAGGUCUUGUCUGAUCCGGAGAAUCGCCGUCAAUAUGAUACUACUGGCUCUGAGGCUCCUGGUCCGGAAAAUGAAGAUCUUGAG
Non-coding RNA from Camelina sativa (false flax), 194 nucleotides. NCBI's taxonomy places the organism in Eukaryota, Viridiplantae, Streptophyta, Magnoliopsida, Brassicales, Brassicaceae. The record is from RefSeq and is a predicted model, not a curated record.